AGUCNAACGAUGAAGCCCUUCGGGGUGGAUUAGUGGCGAACGGGUGAGUAACACGUGGGCAAUCUGCCCUUCACUCUGGGACAAGCCCUGGAAACGGGGUCUAAUACCGGAUAACACUUACCUCCUCCUGGGGGUUGGUUAAAAGCUCCGGCGGUGAAGGAUGAGCCCGCGGCCUAUCAGCUUGUUGGUGGGGUAAUGGCCUACCAAGGCGACGACGGGUAGCCGGCCUGAGAGGGCGACCGGCCACACUGGGACUGAGACACGGCCCAGACUCCUACGGGAGGCAGCAGUGGGGAAUAUUGCACAAUGGGCGAAAGCCUGAUGCAGCGACGCCGCGUGAGGGAUGACGGCCUUCGGGUUGUAAACCUCUUUCAGCAGGGAAGAAGCGCAAGUGACGGUACCUGCAGAAGAAGCACCGGCUAACUACGUGCCAGCAGCCGCGGUAAUACGUAGGGUGCGAGCGUUGUCCGGAAUUAUUGGGCGUAAAGAGCUCGUAGGCGGUCUGUCACGUCGGAUGUGAAAGCCCGGGGCUUAACCCCGGGUCUGCAUUCGAUACGGGCAGACUAGAGUGUGGUAGGGGAGAUCGGAAUUCCUGGUGUAGCGGUGAAAUGCGCAGAUAUCAGGAGGAACACCGGUGGCGAAGGCGGAUCUCUGGGCCAUUACUGACGCUGAGGAGCGAAAGCGUGGGGAGCGAACAGGAUUAGAUACCCUGGUAGUCCACGCCGUAAACGUUGGGAACUAGGUGUUGGCGACAUUCCACGUCGUCGGUGCCGCAGCUAACGCAUUAAGUUCCCCGCCUGGGGAGUACGGCCGCAAGGCUAAA
RNAcentral lists this ribosomal RNA (823 nucleotides) under Streptomyces sp. LCK-2009.39. RNAcentral's name for it is "bacterial SSU rRNA". It matches the Rfam family "Bacterial small subunit ribosomal RNA", at positions 60 to 898 of the family's 1533-position model. The record is from RNAcentral. Lineage: Bacteria; Bacillati; Actinomycetota; Actinomycetes; Kitasatosporales; Streptomycetaceae.